GCCUGAGAGGGUGAACGGCCACAUUGGGACUGAGACACGGCCCAAACUCCUACGGGAGGCAGCAGUGGGGAAUAUUGCACAAUGGGGGAAACCCUGAUGCAGCGACGCCGCGUGAAGGAAGAAGUAUUUCGGUAUGUAAACUUCUAUCAGCAGGGAAGAAAAUGACGGUACCUGACUAAGAAGCCCCGGCUAACUACGUGCCAGCAGCCGCGGUAAU
RNAcentral lists this ribosomal RNA (217 nucleotides) under uncultured bacterium. Its description in RNAcentral is "partial 16S ribosomal RNA". It matches the Rfam family "Bacterial small subunit ribosomal RNA", at positions 290 to 524 of the family's 1533-position model. The record is from RNAcentral.